AUACGUAGGGGGCGAGCGUUGUCCGGAAUGAUUGGGCGUAAAGGGCGCGUAGGCGGCCCGGUAAGUCUGGAGUGAAAGUCCUGUUUUUAAGAUGGGAAUUGCUUUGGAUACUGUCGGGCUUGAGUGCAGGAGAGGUAAGUGGAAUUCCCAGUGUAGCGGUGAAAUGCGUAGAGAUUGGGAGGAACACCAGUGGCGAAGGCGACUUACUGGACUGUAACUGACGCUGAGGCGCGAAAGAGUGGGGAGCAAACAGGAGUAGAUACCCGGGUAGUCCACACUGUAAACGAUGAAUACUAGGUGUGCGGGGACUGACCCCCUGCGUGCCGGCGUUAACACAAUAAGUAUUCCACCUGGGGAGUACGAGCGCAAGGUUUAAACUCAAAUGAAUUGACGGGG
RNAcentral lists this ribosomal RNA (396 nucleotides) under uncultured bacterium. Its description in RNAcentral is "partial 16S ribosomal RNA". It matches the Rfam family "Bacterial small subunit ribosomal RNA", at positions 523 to 918 of the family's 1533-position model. The record is from RNAcentral.